RNAcentral lists this ribosomal RNA (694 nucleotides) under uncultured Bacteroidales bacterium. Its description in RNAcentral is "bacterial SSU rRNA". It matches the Rfam family "Bacterial small subunit ribosomal RNA", at positions 32 to 715 of the family's 1533-position model. Lineage: Bacteria; Pseudomonadati; Bacteroidota; Bacteroidia; Bacteroidales. The record is from RNAcentral.
AACGCUAGCUACAGGCUUAACACAUGCAAGUCGCGGGGCAGCAUGAAUUCAGCUUGCUGAAUUUGAUGGCGACCGGCGCACGGGUGAGUAACGCGUAUCCAACCUGCCCAUGUCCACGGGAUAGCCCGUCGAAAGGCGGAUUAAUACCGUAUGAGGUCACGAGAGGGCAUCUGAUUGUGACGAAAGGUUUAGCGGACAUGGAUGGGGAUGCGUCCGAUUAGCUUGUUGGCGGGGUAACGGCCCACCAAGGCAUCGAUCGGUAGGGGUUCUGAGAGGAAGGUCCCCCACAUUGGAACUGAGACACGGUCCAAACUCCUACGGGAGGCAGCAGUGAGGAAUAUUGGUCAAUGGACGAGAGUCUGAACCAGCCAAGUAGCGUGCAGGAUGACGGCCCUAUGGGUUGUAAACUGCUUUUAUGUGGGAAUAAAUGAGACUACGUGUAGUUUUUUGCAUGUACCACAUGAAUAAGGACCGGCUAAUUCCGUGCCAGCAGCCGCGGUAAUACGGAGGAUGCGAGCGUUAUCCGGAUUUAUUGGGUUUAAAGGGAGCGCAGACGGGCGUUUAAGUCAGUUGUGAAAGUUCGCGGCUCAACCGCGGAAUUGCAGUUGAAACUGGACGCCUUGAGUGCGGUUGAGGCAGGCGGAAUUUGUGGUGUAGCGGUGAAAUGCUUAGAUAUCACGAAGAACUCCGAUUG